GUUUUUUUAUAAGAUUUGGGUUCUGAUAGAUUAAUAGGGAAUGCAGUGAAAAUCUGCAACAGUCCCGCUGCUGUGAAUCUCUUUUAGAAUAUUAUCUUUUAUAAGCCACUGGUACUGGGCGUGUAUCGGGAAGGCAAAAGUAAUGGCAGCCGCAUAACUGCAAGAGAUGAGUCAGAAGACCUGCCCAAGUCCGAUUGUUUAA
This 202-nucleotide non-coding RNA is filed under the name Porphyromonadaceae. The record is from RNAcentral. RNAcentral also lists the same sequence under 1 other name. Lineage: Bacteria; Pseudomonadati; Bacteroidota; Bacteroidia; Bacteroidales.